UUGGAAGUCAUAUUUCUCCUCCAAAAGAAUCUGCCCUUGGCUUCAGCCCAAAAAUCAGUUUUACAGCGGCCAAACAUGGCCUACAAGAUAUCCUCGGUGCUUUUUAUACUAGUCCUGCUGCUAUCGUUUUCUCUACUCUUGCCUCCAUCUUCACCAACAAACACUCACUUAAUCGUGCAGAAGAUCAAUGAAGUGAUACGUAGGGAUUUAAUCGGAGCAAAACCUCCUCCAAAUGAUCAUCAUCCAGGUGGAGGGCAGAAUGGUCGUUAAUAAUGGUUGUUGUUAUUAUUAUUUUGGUUUUUUAUAAUUGCGGUCAUGGGUUGAUUAGAAUUGAACCCAAUAUUUUAUACUUAUAAUAUAAUAUUAUUAAGAUGUUGUUGGUGUAAAUACUUGUUAUUAGAUCCCAUAAUAUUGCAAUCCUGCUUAAAACAUUAUAUAUUUUAGAUAAUUUCAGUACCUUAAUAUUUUAUGUAAUAUAUAUUUGUAUUUAUUUGUA
Molecule: long non-coding RNA, 496 nt
Organism: Gossypium raimondii (Peruvian cotton)
Lineage: Eukaryota; Viridiplantae; Streptophyta; Magnoliopsida; Malvales; Malvaceae
Exons: 2
Source: RefSeq, a predicted model, not a curated record